This 460-nucleotide ribosomal RNA is filed under the name uncultured bacterium. RNAcentral's name for it is "partial 16S ribosomal RNA". It matches the Rfam family "Bacterial small subunit ribosomal RNA", at positions 338 to 795 of the family's 1533-position model. The record is from RNAcentral.
CCUACGGGAGGCAGCAGUGAGGAAUAUUGGUCAAUGGGCUUACGCCUGAACCAGCCAAGUCGCGUGAGGGAAGACUGCCCUAUGGGUUGUAAACCUCUUUUGUCAGGGAGCAACGCCGGCUACGUGUAGCCGGACUGAGAGUACCUGAAGAAAAAGCAUCGGCUAACUCCGUGCCAGCAGCCGCGGUAAUACGGAGGAUGCGAGCGUUAUCCGGAUUUAUGGGGUUAAAAGGGUGCGUAGGCGGAAUGCCAAGUCAGCGGUAAAAUCGCGGGGCUCAACCUCGCUCCGCCGUUGAAACUGGCGUUCUUGAGUGGGCGAGAAGUAUGCGGAAUGCGUGGUGUAGCGGUGAAAUGCAUAGAUAUCGAGAGGAACACUCGUGGCGAAGGCGGGUUCCUGGACAUUAACUGACGCUGAGGCACGAAGGCCAGGGGAGCGAAAGGGAUUAGAUACCCCAGUAGUC